This 2899-nucleotide long non-coding RNA is filed under the name Homo sapiens (human). RNAcentral describes it as "HSALNT0405392". The record is from RNAcentral. Lineage: Eukaryota; Metazoa; Chordata; Mammalia; Primates; Hominidae.
CCAGGACUUCUCCACCUCAGCACUAAUGACACAUAGGGGCAGAUGAUUCUCGGGAGCGGGGCGUGAGGCUGUCCUGUACAUUGUAGGAUGUUGAGCAGCAUCCCCGGCCUCUACCUAUUAGAUGGCGAUAGCAUCCCCCGUCUCAAAUUAUGUAAGGCAAAAAGAUUUUCAAAUGUCCCCUGGGGACAAAAUCAACCCGAGUUAAGAGCCACUGACUGAGACCGGCAGCUCUCUCUCCUCACCCACCAGUUCCCAUGUUCCAUGCUUUUCCUGGGUAAUGAACCCCCGUCAGGGCCCAGGAGCUGACUGCAGCAGCUGCUUCAUGUACAUCUCACUGCAUCCUCCCACCAACGCUGUGAUGUGGAGGUGAAGAAGAUCUCCAUUUUACAGGAGAAGAAACGAAGACCUGGAAAGCACUGAUGACUUCAGGUUGCAGCCAGCCAUCAGGGAGCCAGCAAUAGAUGCAAGGAUUGGAGGACUCUGAGGCUAAUAUGGAGUAGAAUGCUCAGUAAAUGCCAGCUGCAGUGGGGUGGCCAUCCCAGGGGAUGAUGCCCCAGUGCCCAGGUCCUCUGUGCAAGUUCAUCCCAAGCUGUGCCAUCCCUUCCAAAUCCUUCACAAGCCAGAUGCAGGAGCGAAUCUUGUCACUGAGUUGCAGUCAUGGCCUAAGGGUGUUUCAGGAUAAACAGAAGAAGCAGAGGACAGCUGAUCUGGAUGUGUUGCCUCCCCCACUAACAUUAUUGUUACCCUCUUGGAAUUAGAGACCAUGCCAGCCUGUAUCUCCUCCUUCCUCUCUGUCCUGUGCAGAGCUGAGUGUGUCCUCAAUGUUUACAUAAAAUGCCAUAAAUCAUGGAAUCUUUAAGCACAAGAGACCUCAGAGGCCAACUCCAAGCCACAAACAAGGAACCCUGAAUCGAAAGGGAAUCUAAAGCUUCAGGCAAAGAGAGAGGAGAUUGGAUGGUGUGUCAAGCACAGUGCUACCCCCUUUAUAGGCAUGGCAUUGAGGUAGGACAUGGGACUUGACUCUGGAGGCAGGGCUCAGGUACGGGACCAAACUGAAGACUAGCUAAAAUAGGGACAGGGUGAAAACACCUUUCCAUAGGAAAUGCCUGUCAGUGUGCCAUGUCAGUUUAUCAUUGCCAUGGCAACACCUGGAAGUUACUGCCCCUUUCCAUGGCAACAACCCGAUGACUGGAAAGUUUCCAACCCUUUUCUAGAAAUUUCUGCAUAAUGCACCCUUUAAUUUGCAUAUAAUUAAAAGUGGGUAUAAAUAUGACUGCAGGACUGCCUCUGAGCUGCUACUCUGGGCACAUUGCCUAUGGGGUAGCCCUGCUCUGCAAGAAGAAGUACCUCUGCUGCUGUGGUACACUGCCACUUCAAGAAAAGUUGCUAACACCACUGGCUAGCCCUUGAAGCCCUUGAAUUAUUUCCUAGGCAAAGCCAAGAACUCUCGCAAGCUAAACCCCAAUUUGGGGGGCUCACCUGCCCUGCAUCAGCGUAAUUUAAUACUCACAGCUACCCUCCAAAGCCAGCAUCAUGAUACCCACCUGAGAGGUCAGAAAACCGAGACACGGAGUGAUGGCGGCUGACUCAGUUCCCCUAGCUGGGACUCACAGCUGGAUGCAAGCUGCCUAACCUGAGGCUUCAGGCUCUAUCCACAGUCUGCAGGCAUACUGACUGGCCUCUGUUUAUGCAUCUGUGAAAUGGGGAUGAUGAGGGCAAGUAUUCAUACUAUGCCCCACCCAGCAGGCUUCAGGCAAUGAGGAACUAUAAGCAUGGAUGUGAAUGUGUUCUGGACAUGGAAUGGAUGAUACAAAGAGAAUGGAUACUCAGGUGCCCAGAGAGCCCUGGCUUUGUUCCUGGAAGUGGUCAGAUAAAAAAACCAAAAAAAAAAAAACAGUUUGGAUGUGGAGUCAGGAAGAACUAGGUUCAAAUAUUACCUUUUCCACUUAAUCAGUGCCUGACCUUUGGCAGGUAACUCUACCAACCCUUCCACCCGCCUUUUGUAAAUAUUCACAGAGUGAGGGUCAUGUGCAAGAUACAGAAGUCAGUCUGGAUUCAAAUAGGCUCUGCUGGGGUGACAUGUAGGAAUCUGCACAAGUGAUUUGUCAUCGUCACCAUCAUCAUCACUGAGGCACAGCACACAUAUAAUACAAUGCAUAAAUCUAAAAGCAAAACCUGAAGAAUUUCUGCAUGUGCAUAGUGUUGUAGACUAAAUUGUGUCCUCCCACCCCCUGAAAAGUUAUCUAUUGAAGUCCUGACCUUCAUAACUUGGGAAAAUGGCUGUAUUUGAAGACAAGAUCUUUAAAGAAGUAAAGUAAAAUGAGGCCAUUAGGGUGGGCCCUAAUCCAUUUUACUGAUGUCAUGCACGGAUGCAUGUGUACAGAGGAAAGGCCAUGUGAGGACACGGCGAGAAGACGGCCACCUGCAAGCCAAGGAGAGAGAUCUCAAGAGAGACCAAACCUGCUGGCCCCUGAUCUUACACUUCCAGCUUCCAGAAUUGUAAGAAAGUAAACUUCGGUUGUCCAACCUACCCAGUCUGUGGUAUUUUGUUAUGGUAGCCUGGUCAGACUAAUACACAUAACCUUGUGUAACCAGCACUACGAUUAGGAGCAGAAUAUUUCCAAUAACCCAGCAGCCCCUGCCAUCAUGACCUUCUCAAUCUUGCCCUCUACCCCCAGAAGUAAUCAUUGCUCUGAUCCCUGUUAUCAUCAACUAGUUCUGUCCAUUUCUGAACUUCAUAUAGGUGGAACCAUACAAUAUGUUUCCUUUGUGCCUGGCUUCUUUGACUCAGCAUUCCAUUUCUGAAAUGCAUCUUUCCUAUUGGGUGCAGCCGUCAUUCAUUCUUUUUCUUUGCUGUAUAAUAUUCCACCGUGUGACUUCAUCACAGUUUGUUUAUCCA